Molecule: small nuclear RNA, 137 nt
Organism: Neogale vison (American mink)
Lineage: Eukaryota; Metazoa; Chordata; Mammalia; Carnivora; Mustelidae
Product: U4 spliceosomal RNA
Exons: 1
Source: RefSeq, a predicted model, not a curated record
GUAAAAAUGCAGUGGCAGUAUCGUAGCCAAUGAGGUUUAUCCGAGGCGCGAUUAUUGCUAAUUGAAACUAAGAUAUUUUUCAGAUAAUAAAAUUUCUAGAGAAUUUGUCGCUAAUUGAUUCUUUUUUUUUUUCCAAU